This 547-nucleotide unclassified non-coding RNA is filed under the name Hevea brasiliensis (rubber tree). The record is from RNAcentral. Lineage: Eukaryota; Viridiplantae; Streptophyta; Magnoliopsida; Malpighiales; Euphorbiaceae.
AAAGGUGUGAUUUUGGGAGGUGGGGUUGCAUUCUUGGUGCUUUUUAGUUUGGUAUUUUUGGGAUGGGUUGUGUUUGUGGUAAGCCAUCUGCCAUUGAAGACAGUAGAGAUAGUCCAAGGGAGAGGCUGUCAAGUAAAAGUGCUGCAAGUUUGAGAGGGCCAAGAACUGGUGGUUCAUCAAGAAGAGAGGAAGCUUAUAGAGUCAAAGAUCGUUUGGAUAGCAUUGAUGGGAAGACAAUGUUGAUUGAUAAACAAGUAAAUGGUUCAGUAAGACUGCAGACUGAGAAUUAUGAGAGGAAAAGAGAGAAGCAAGAGUUAAUUGGGACAUUACCUAAAAGCAGUGAAGGGGAACAGGUUGCUGCUGGAUGGCCACCCUGGCUUGCUGCUGUUGCUGGAGAAGCUAUCAGAGGAUGGGUGCCUAGACGAGCAGAUUCCUUUGAGAAAUUGGAUAAAAUUGGUCAGGGCACCUACAGCAACGUUUACCGUGCUCGUGAUCUUGAUCAAGGGAAGAUCGUUGCAUUGAAGAAAGUGAGAUUUGAUAAUCUAGA